UACGAAGGGAGCUAGCGUUGUUCGGAAUCACUGGGCGUAAAGCGCACGUAGGCGGAUGUGUCAGUCAGGGGUGAAAUCCCGGAGCUCAACUUCGGAACUGCCUUUGAUACAGCACAUCUGGAGUCCGGAAGAGGUGGGUGGAAUUCCUAGUGUAGAGGUGAAAUUCGUAGAUAUUAGGAAGAACACCGGUGGCGAAGGCGGCCCACUGGUCCGGUACUGACGCUGAGGUGCGAAAGCGUGGGGAGCAA
This 248-nucleotide ribosomal RNA is filed under the name uncultured bacterium. Its description in RNAcentral is "partial 16S ribosomal RNA". It matches the Rfam family "Bacterial small subunit ribosomal RNA", at positions 524 to 771 of the family's 1533-position model. The record is from RNAcentral.